This 486-nucleotide ribosomal RNA is filed under the name uncultured bacterium. RNAcentral describes it as "partial 16S ribosomal RNA". It matches the Rfam family "Bacterial small subunit ribosomal RNA", at positions 899 to 1397 of the family's 1533-position model. The record is from RNAcentral.
ACUCAAAUGAAUAGACGGGGGCCCGCACAAGCAGCGGAGCGUGUGGAUUAAUUCGAUGCGACGCGCAGAACCUUACCUGGGCUUGACAUGCUGCUGUCGUACUGACCCGAAAGGGGAGGGACCCGCAAGGGAGGCAGCACAGGUGCUGCAUGGCUGUCGUCAGCUCGUGCCGUGAGGUGUUGGGUUAAGUCCCGCAACGAGCGCAACCCUCGUCCCCAGUUGUGGUUUCUGGGGAGACUGCCGGGCGAACCCCGGAGGAAGGUGGGGAUGACGUCAAGUCCGCAUGGCCCUCACGUCCAGGGCGUCACACACGCUACAAUGGCCGGUACAAUGGGCUGCUCCUCGGCGACGAGUUGCCAAUCCCGCAAAACCGGCCUCAGUUCGGAUCGUAGGCUGCAACCCGCCUACGUGAAGCCGGAGUUGCUAGUAACCGCGCGUCAGCACAGUGCGGUGAAUGCGUUCCCGGGCCUUGUACACACCGCCCGU